Molecule: long non-coding RNA, 232 nt
Filed under: Elaeis guineensis (African oil palm)
Lineage: Eukaryota; Viridiplantae; Streptophyta; Magnoliopsida; Arecales; Arecaceae
Description: long non-coding RNA (EGUI_LNC079305)
Source: RNAcentral
CUUCGUAGUUUAAUUGUGAAAAUUGGUUAAAGUUUGAAGCCUAGCCAAAUCUAUCCAUACGCCUAAACUAGAGUCCAUGUUGUUAAGAACUCUAAUCUAAUUGUCAUGCCACUUCUAAUCUCAAAAUUUUUUUCACGCCAUCUCCAGGUUAGCACCUCCAUUUUGGUCUGUUGGAUGGCCAAAAAGUACUGAUGAGUGGUGGAGAAAAAAUAUGCCUAAUGAAGCCUCGCGA